This 433-nucleotide ribosomal RNA is filed under the name uncultured bacterium. Its description in RNAcentral is "partial 16S ribosomal RNA". It matches the Rfam family "Bacterial small subunit ribosomal RNA", at positions 29 to 507 of the family's 1533-position model. The record is from RNAcentral.
AACGAACGCUGGCGGCAUGCCUAACACAUGCAAGUCGAACGAGACCUUCGGGUCUAGUGGCGCACGGGUGCGUAACGCGUGGGAACCUGCCUUUAGGUUCGGAAUAACUCAGAGAAAUUUGAGCUAAUACCGGAUGAUGUCUUCGGACCAAAGAUUUAUCGCCUUUAGAUGGGCCCGCGUUGGAUUAGCUAGUUGGUGGGGUAAAGGCCUACCAAGGCGACGAUCCAUAGCUGGUCUGAGAGGAUGAUCAGCCACACUGGGACUGAGACACGGCCCAGACUCCUACGGGAGGCAGCAGUGGGGAAUAUUGGACAAUGGGCGAAAGCCUGAUCCAGCAAUGCCGCGUGAGUGAUGGAGGCCUUAGGGUUGUAAAGCUCUUUUACCCGAGAUGAUAAUGACAGUAGCGGGAGAAUAAGCUCCGGCUAACUCCGUG